CCCUACGGGGCGCAGCAGGCGCGAAAACUUUACAAUGCGGGAAACCGUGAUAAGGGGACACCGAGUGCCAGCAUCAUAUGCUGGCUGUNCCAGGUGUUUAAACUACACCUGUUAGCAAGGGCCGGGCAAGACCGGUGCCAGCCGCCGCGGUAACACCGGCGGCCCGAGUGGUGAUCGUGAUUAUUGGGUCUAAAGGGUCCGUAGCCGGUUUGGUCAGUCCUCCGGGAAAUCUGAUAGCUCAACUAUUAGGCUUUCGGGGGAUACUGCCAGGCUUGGAACCGGGAGAGGUAAGAGGUACUACAGGGGUAGGAGUGAAAUCUUGUAAUCC
RNAcentral lists this ribosomal RNA (328 nucleotides) under Methanosarcina sp. RNAcentral's name for it is "bacterial SSU rRNA". It matches the Rfam family "Archaeal small subunit ribosomal RNA", at positions 321 to 648 of the family's 1478-position model. Lineage: Archaea; Methanobacteriati; Methanobacteriota; Methanomicrobia; Methanosarcinales; Methanosarcinaceae. The record is from RNAcentral.